AUUGGUAUGACCGGUCUCGCUGAUCCCUCCCUCUUGACGAACUGUGAUGCCAUUAAUUUGGUGUCGCAGGGAAUCAGGACUGUUACUUUGAAAAAAUUAGAGUGUUUAAAGCAGGCUUUCGCUUGAAUACAUUAGCAUGGAAUAAUGAAAUAGGACGUUUGAUCCUAUUUUGUUGGUUUCUAGGAUUGACGUAAUGAUUAAUAGGGAUAGUUGGGGGCAUUAGUAUUCAAUUGUCAGAGGUGAAAUUCUUGGAUUUAUUGAAGACUAACUACUGCGAAAGCAUUUGCCAAGGAUGUUUUCAUUAAUCAAGAACGAAAGUUAGGGGAUCGAAGACGAUCAGAUACCGUCGUAGUCUUAACCAUAAACUAUGCCGACUAGGGAUCGGAUGAUGUUAAUUUUUUAAUGACUCAUUCGGCGCCUUACG
This 424-nucleotide ribosomal RNA is filed under the name uncultured Glomeromycotina. RNAcentral describes it as "SSU rRNA". It matches the Rfam family "Eukaryotic small subunit ribosomal RNA", at positions 670 to 1092 of the family's 1831-position model. Lineage: Eukaryota; Fungi; Glomeromycota. The record is from RNAcentral.